GCGGGUGUGGCCGAGUGGCUAGGCACCGGCCUGCAAAGCCGUUCACGUGGGUUCGAAUCCCGCCAUCCGCUCAA
RNAcentral lists this transfer RNA (74 nucleotides) under Rhodococcus sp. (in: high G+C Gram-positive bacteria). Its description in RNAcentral is "Rhodococcus sp. tRNA-Cys". It matches the Rfam family "tRNA". Rfam says of the family: Transfer RNA (tRNA) molecules are approximately 80 nucleotides in length. Their secondary structure includes four short double-helical elements and three loops (D, anti-codon, and T loops). Lineage: Bacteria; Bacillati; Actinomycetota; Actinomycetes; Mycobacteriales; Nocardiaceae. RNAcentral also lists the same sequence under 1 other name. The record is from RNAcentral.